GGCGAGUGAGCGGCACGGCUCAAAUUUGAAAUCUGGCCCCCCCCGGGCCCGAGUUGUAAUUUGCAGAGGAUGCUUCUGGCGAGGCGCCUUCCGAGUGCCCUGGAACGGGACGCCACAGAGGGUGAGAGCCCCGUCUGGUCGGACGCCGAGCCUCCGCGAAGCUCCUUCGACGAGUCGAGUAGUUUGGGAAUGCUGCUCUAAACGGGAGGUAUAUGUCUUCUAAAGCUAAAUACCGGCCAGAGACCGAUAGCGCACAAGUAGAGUGAUCGAAAGAUGAAAAGCACUUUGAAAAGAGGGUUAAACAGUACGUGAAAUUGUUGAAAGGGAAGCGCUCGCGACCAGACUUGGGCCCGGCGAAUCAUCCGGCGUUCUCGCCGGUGCACUUCGCCGGGCUUCCAGGCCAGCAUCAGCUCGCCUCGGGGGAUAAAGGCCCGGGGAACGUGGCUCCUCCGGGAGUGUUAUAGCCCCUCGCGCAAUGCCCUGGGGCGGGCUGAGGACCGCGCAUUCGCAAGGAUGCUGGCGUAAUGGUCGUCAGCGACCCGUCUUGAACCGGACCAUUUAUAGCUAUUUGAUUCUGAAUGAACCCAUGGCACCGGAUCAACUUGCUCGACGGUAUAAUUGAACGACAUAGAGCCGCAAAUUUUCCAAUUUGCGUUCGGCCUAUAACAAGGCGUGCAAUGCGUUUACUGGUGUUUACGGACCUAGUGCCGUACCUAGUCCAU
RNAcentral lists this ribosomal RNA (722 nucleotides) under Nigrocornus scleroticus. RNAcentral's name for it is "partial large subunit ribosomal RNA". The stretch from base 1 to 553 matches the Rfam family "Eukaryotic large subunit ribosomal RNA", at positions 88 to 664 of the family's 3401-position model. The record is from RNAcentral. Lineage: Eukaryota; Fungi; Ascomycota; Sordariomycetes; Hypocreales; Clavicipitaceae.